CACAGCAAAACAAAUUGUGUUCUGUUGGAUAGGUGACUUGUAAGAGAGGAUCAUUUUCCAUUAAAAAGAAAAGAUGGGGGAAGAAAAACCUGACUAAGUUGAGGGUGGGGAGUGAUAACAAAUAACAAAACAAACAAUAGAUUCAGUGAUGAGUUAAAGAUGAAUUAGAUAUUCUUAUCAUCUGAGAAGGAAGCCAAUACAAAUCAAUAGUUCUUACAGUUCUCCAAGGGUACCCUACUUGCUAGACUUUAAAGGGAUUAGUCCAACAGCUACUCAUUAAAAAACAAAACAAAGAGUACUUACAAGUGAGAAUGGUAACCCAGCAAAGAGACCUAUGAAACUUGCAUCUUACCAAAGCUUUUUUAGUGCCCUAAUUACCAUACCUAAUACUGUGAUAGUAGAUAGUGACACCCAGUAGGUAUCUGUUGAGUGAAGAAAUCUGAUACUUAAACUCUUUAUAGAAUUGAUCUUAAGAAGUCUUCUGAUUACAUCCAAAGAUAGUACUCAUUACUGUGUCAGAUCACCCCAUCGCUAAGAAUUUUAAAUUCUUAAAUCAUAAAUGUCCUUGUUACAUAAACUGAGAUUGGUCUUUAAAGAAAAUCUAGCCAUUCAUUUUAUAUUACUCUUUAGAGAAUUAAAAUGAAUCCCUCUUCUGCCUGGCAAUCUUUCAAAUAUCUGAAGAAAGCUAUCUUGAGGAAAUAUUAGAGAGAUGCUAUUUUAUGAUUUCUCUGCACUGUAUCUCAAAACUAUUUCACCCCACGUACUGUUUCACAAUAUUAGCCAGAUACUUCUGGAAAAAAGGUUUGCAAGGCCAAAGCAAAUUUACCUGAACAUAUUCUCUUGCCUUCUAAAUUAAUUGAGCCAUCAUGUAAAGUGUCAGAAACUAUUUCCUACUGCCUCAGGACGAGCACUGUGGCAAUGGGUGAGAAGCAAAUUAGAGUUCCAAUAUGUCCUGCUAAGCAUGGGGAAGUCUGUCACUUGCCUUAGGGAUCAGGUCAGUUUCUACUGAAAGAACAUCUAUGAUGAACUAAAUACAAGGGACCCCACCCUUCAAUAGAUAUCAUGUAAGUGUUCCAUAUUCUUAUGUAGCCCUAUGGGGGAAAGAGCCCCAAUUAUGCCCAAGAUUAAUUUCCCUGCAAUCCUCUGGGAUAGUGGCUAUACACCUAAAUUAAUUUUAGUCAAGGAAUCCACAGAAAUGUGCGUUACCUUGCACACUUUAUUUGGAAACAAAAUAUGCCAAUGACAUAGCAAUUACAUCUGCCUUAAAACUGGUUGGAACUCUAAGCUUUAUGUAACUUCCUUCCUUGCCUGCUAGUCUACAGAGCAAUAUGGAAGAGUAAAGAGCAGAAGGUACAAUGCCAGGGAAAAAAAUAGCUUUUAAACCUAUAACCUAGAACAAGAAUGUUUUACCUGAGUCUGAGCUUUUUCAGAUGUAAAACAGACAGAGUAAUGCUAUUAGGCACUAUUUGCAGCACAAUCAUGGGAUACCUACCAACAAAGAACAGACAUAUAAAGCAAAUAAAAAUGUGGCUAGAGAGUUUAAUCUACAUAAGCACUUUAGUGCAGAAUCAGGCAAAAUGUCUUUAAUAUGACCAAACAUUUCACAAGCUGGCAGGACUAGGUGUAACCUAUUUCAUCAAUUCUAGGGUACUCCAUUUUGUCCACCUUGUAACAUUUCUAAAAUGGAGAUGCAUCUUCUAAUUAAUGGUAUGUCAGAGUUAACUGAGGAUAUUUCUAUAAUUUUAAUCAUAUAAACAGUGGUGAUCCUCAUAUAAGCACCUUUCAGAGGUGAGGAUAUCUAGAAUCAGGGCUUUUGUUUAGGUGGUUUUAUAUCAAAUCUAAAGCCAUUAAGGUAAUUAGAUGCAUCAAGCUGCCUUCUGAUUACCAUUGGCCUAUCAUUGUUGGGGACAUGGCUCAGAUCAUCAGUGUCGAAAAAUGAACAAGGGAAGGUCUCAACAAGGCUCUUUACUUCUGCAGAAGGGUGUGGGUACUCAAAAAGCAUGCAAAGAAGCAAAGACCCAAUUUGUCCCUAAUGCAGGUGAUGUACCUGUCCCCUUCCCAUUGGUCAGGUCAGGGCAAGCAUUAUUUCUUCUCAGUUGGCUAAUUUGAAACAAAUUGUUACUGUGAGAAGAGGGAAAGAGGAGGGGGGUUGCAGGAAGGCAUUUUGGCUGAAACCUGAGCAAAAUGGAGUAACCAAGAUUGCCUUUGAUAGAAAAGACAUUGUGUUACUUCCCACAAUUUCCCCCUUUCAUUUUUUUUUCAAAUAUUCUUUUGUUCAAAUUCUUUGAGCAUGGUUUGGCUCUCAGGCUCUAUUGUGUCCAUCAGGAGUAUAUUGGCUUGGUGGGGAAGGAGUCCCAGUUGCUUUGUUAGGGCAGUUUCUAUUAAUUUUUGAAAAAGUCCCCUGGCACAAGAAAUUAUACAACAUGCAACUAAGACACGUACACUAACUACAGCAAUUUGAGGGGUAAAGAUUGAAGCUAUUAGUCCCUUCCAUUUUUUUUUUUUAAACAAUUUUCUAUAAGGUCUGAGAAGGGGUCAUUAAUACCAGAAUUCUAUGAAAGCUCAUCUGCUAAGGUCGUUAGUCCACACAGGGCCUUGGUGAUGGUGCUGUCUGGGGCAGUGUUGUUGAGAAUGAAUGUCCAGCACUGGACACCAAUUAUUACACAGACUCCACCCUUUUCUGCCAGCAUCAUGUCUAAAGCAAGGCUAUUUUCCCAUGCCGUUUGA
Molecule: long non-coding RNA, 2727 nt
Filed under: Sus scrofa (pig)
Lineage: Eukaryota; Metazoa; Chordata; Mammalia; Artiodactyla; Suidae
Description: lncRNA (ENSSSCG00050060031.1)
Source: RNAcentral